GCAUAUCACUGAGCGCAGGAGAAGAAACUAACCAGGAUUUCCCUAGUAACGGCGAGCGAACCGGAAAGAGCCCAGCUUGAAAAUCGUGGCGCCCCGGCGCCUCGAAUUGUAGUCUGGAGAAGGUCCCUCUGCGGCGCGCCGGACCCAAGUUCCCUGGAAAGGGACGCCAUCGAGGGUGAGAGCCCCGCUGAUUCCGGAGUGCGCCGCUCCACGAGGACCUGUCUGCGAGUCGGGCUGUUUGGGAAUGCAGCCCUAAGCGGGUGGUAAAUUCCAUCCAAGGCUAAAUAUUGGCAAGAGACCGAUAGCGAACAAGUACCGCGAGGGAAAGAUGAAAAGGACUUUGAAAAGAGAGUUAAAAAGUGCUUGAAAUUGCUGGGAGGGAAGCGAAUGGAAGCUGCGGGUGCGCCCCGGUUGGAUGUGGAACGGCUGUCAAAGGCUGGUCCGCCGCUCAACGCGGGGCGCUGGUCAGCGUGGGCCAUCGCGGCGGGACAAGAGCGGGGAUUCGCUUCCCGCCGAUGCCGCUGCGGUGGCCGAGGAACGAAGCGCGCGCUCUUCAUGGGCGUGGGACUUGUCCCAACUGCGCGCUCGGGACGCUGGCGUAUUGAGCUCUUCAUCCGACCCGUCUUGAAACACGGACCAAGGAGUCUAACAUGUAUGCGAGCCGGUGGGCGGCAAACCCAUUGAGGCGCAAGUAACCUGACAGGUGGGACCCCGACCGCAAGGGAGGGAGCACCAUCGACCGACCGUGAUCUUCUGUGAAGGGUUC
This 766-nucleotide ribosomal RNA is filed under the name Lewinskya sordida. Its description in RNAcentral is "partial 26S ribosomal RNA". It matches the Rfam family "Eukaryotic large subunit ribosomal RNA", at positions 38 to 791 of the family's 3401-position model. The record is from RNAcentral. Lineage: Eukaryota; Viridiplantae; Streptophyta; Bryopsida; Orthotrichales; Orthotrichaceae.